Long non-coding RNA from Rattus rattus (black rat), 959 nucleotides. RefSeq lists it as uncharacterized. The transcript has 2 exons. The record is from RefSeq and is a predicted model, not a curated record. NCBI's taxonomy places the organism in Eukaryota, Metazoa, Chordata, Mammalia, Rodentia, Muridae.
CAUGACACAUUCAGAGCUCACAGUGCUCGGCAGAGGAUAAAACUGUGGUUCCCUAGACAGCAUGAGCAGCAAUCCCACAGAUUUGGUUUUUGUUUUCUUUUGGAGGCAGGGUGUCAUGUAGCCCAGGCCAGUUUUCAACUUGCUAUGUAGGCAAGAGUGGCUUUGAGCUUCUGAUACUGUCUCCACCUCUUGAGUGUUAAGGAUCAGAGGUGCCUUAGCACACUGUUCUGUGCAGUGUGGGGACUGAGCCAUGGCUUUGUGAAUGCUAGACAAGCACUCUACCAACUGAGCUAUAUCCUUAGCCUCCAUAGAAGACUUGGACACUCAAAAAAAGGCAAAUGCUUUGUUUUCUUGAUAGAUCUUCAGAUUCUGGGCAAUAUCUACAAGGAAAGAGACACUCCAAUAUAGAUAGACUAGAGGCUGUGGCUUUUCCCUAGUUCUCUUUUAAGGCCUUUAAUUUUUAUUUUUUAAUUUCUUAAUAAGUACUUAUUUCAUGCUCUGUGCACAUAUAUAUGUGCACAUCAUGUGGCUGGUGCCCAUAGAGGACAGAAGAGGGCAUCGGAGUCUUAUGGUUGUGAGUUGCUUAUACAUCUGAGAAAGCUUUUGUAUGGGUGCUUAGGAACCAAACCUAGGUCCUCUGCAAGAACAGCUGCUCUUAGGCGAAGAGUCGUCUCUUUAAACCCCUAUUAUUUUUGAGACACGGUUUUGAGGAGCUUUGAGCUGGUGCUGAACUCCUGAUCAUCUUGCCACCAUCCCCCAAGUGCUGAGAUGCCGACAAGCCUGGCUUAGAUUUUCAAUACUCAAAUGAAUGCAAAAUUGGAUGUCACAAGCUUUUUGUGGAUGAUAAGCUAUGUUUUCUACUCAUUGCUAUGUAGAGACACUGGGUAACCAUAGCAAGCCAAGCCAAUAUAAAGUACUACAGCAAGGGGAUAAAAUCUAGACCUUGAAACAUCUAAAAA